This 440-nucleotide ribosomal RNA is filed under the name uncultured bacterium. RNAcentral describes it as "partial 16S ribosomal RNA". It matches the Rfam family "Bacterial small subunit ribosomal RNA", at positions 338 to 795 of the family's 1533-position model. The record is from RNAcentral.
CCUACGGGUGGCAGCAGUGGGGAAUAUUGCACAAUGGGGGAAACCCUGAUGCAGCGACGCCGCGUGAGUGAAGAAGUAUCUCGGUACGUAAAGCUCUAUCAGCAGGAAAGAAAAUUACGGUACCUGACUAAGAAGCCCCGGCUAACGACGUGCCAGCAGCCGCGGUACUACGUAGGGGGCAAGCGUUAUCCGGAUUUACUGGGUGUAAAGGGAGCGUAGACGGCGCUGCAAGUCCGGCGUGAAAGCCCAUGGCUUAACCAUGGGACUGCUGUGGAAACUGGAGAGCUGGAGUGCGGGAGGGGCAGGCGGAAUUCGUGGUGUAGCGGUGAAAUGCGUAGAUAUUAGGAGGAACACCGGCUGCGAAGGCGGCCUGCUGGACCGUAACUGACGCUGAGGCUCGAAAGCGUGGGUAGCAAACAGGAUUAGAUACCCUAGUAGUC